This is a small nuclear RNA of Dermacentor albipictus, 183 nucleotides long. RefSeq annotates it as U2 spliceosomal RNA. The record is from RefSeq and is a predicted model, not a curated record. NCBI's taxonomy places the organism in Eukaryota, Metazoa, Arthropoda, Arachnida, Ixodida, Ixodidae.
AUUGAUGUCAAGGGCAGUGGGAACAUAGACAUGCCCGACGUCAGCUUAAUAUUUGAUGCGGGUUCAAUUUGGACCCAGGAUAAUAGACUUAUUUUUGCAAGUUGACGAAGUGCUUAAAGCUUGGUUCACCUCCGCCGUGGGUCGGCCCGGUAUUGCAUGAUCUCCGCGAUCGGCCCACGCUUU